Molecule: long non-coding RNA, 1255 nt
Organism: Rhineura floridana
Lineage: Eukaryota; Metazoa; Chordata; Lepidosauria; Squamata; Rhineuridae
Exons: 3
Source: RefSeq, a predicted model, not a curated record
CUACGGAUCCCUUCAGCAAAAGAGGAACGUAACCCGUAUUUGCCAGUGUGUCUGAACUUCUCUUUUUCAGCGUUCACGCUCCUGAAUGCGCCUGAUUUCAUUCUGCAAGGGAAGGCUCUUUUUCGAAGGCGCAGCUUUCGACGAGCCGCUUUUUUUAACAGGCGUGAAACGUGGUUCGGAGAAAAGCGGGGAAAUCGGACCUGAGCAAUGUCUAUAUUUUGCCUAUGAUAACCUUAGUUCUUCCGAACUCCACCCUGACCUCCCUCUUUAUAUCCAGGCCUACGGAUGACUCUCGAAAAGGACAAAAACUUCAACAGGCUGCAGUUCUCUAUGCGCCUCAUAUUAAAAAUCUCCAGAAAAAGACCAGAAUUGUCAAUUGUACUGAACACACGCAUACGGGGGGAGCAAGCGAAUCUAACUCUGGCCUGCCGAGUAGGUCGUUCCGGACAGAAUCAGGAUUAAAAGAAGGUUUGGGGGACUGCAGGAAAUAGGGAUGAACGGAGAAGUACAAAAGGAAGCAAUCCGGCAGACGGAGGCAGCUCCCCCCCCCCCCAGGUUCCUGCAUUUGAACCAAAGGCGCUUGGAGUCCGAAGGCAAGAGGCGGUGGAGAUGUUAACUGUUAAGAAGACACCUUCAGGAUCUGCCCUUAGAAUAAAAUCCCAUUGAUACAAAUGGCAUUAUUUACUUCUAGGUGGCACGGGAUCGGGUCCGCAGAGUUACCCAAAAAGUAUUUUUUUUAAAAAAAGUCAACAUCACUUUGGAAGCUUAGGAGGAUCGUCGCCUCAUACCCGGACCCUGGAGGGAAGGAAACCCCAUUGAAUUCAAUGGAUCUGACUUCCCAGCAAGAUACUUGCUUGGGGGCACGCUUCCCUCAAACCCAGCGGCCUUGUCAUCCCAUCCCAUCCCCACCCCACCCCACCCCUAAACCCCUCGCCGAGAGCCAACGCUUGACCCCAUCCCUCCCGAACAUGGCACGGCGGUCAGAGUCCCCCCAUCCUGACCGAAGCGCAUUAGUGGGAAGCCAGCCUCGCUGAUCUCGUCCGGAGAAUUGGCUCCCACCUAGCCUGUUCAAGGCCAGGGUCCCAAAUGUCAGUUGGUGAGUGCGCGGGAGGCAGUAAAUAAAUUAGGAGCCUCAAGGAAGGAGCGAGCGUGUCCGAGGAAAGACAACCAGGCUGCGAGCAGAGACGUCGUACCUGCUACGACCUUUCUCAUCACCCCCUCCUUCCUUCCUCCUCUCCUCCCUUCCGCGGCUGUU